AUGGCAUCUGAAAACUUGUUCAGCUGGCUGAAGGAUGACGUACUGCGGAGGCCUACAUACUCUCGCUUUUGUGCACUUCUUGACAACUACAACCCACGCCAAGGAUACAAGGAAUUAGUCACCCAGCAGGACAAGAAUGAAGAAGCUGCUUUUAUUGAGGAGAUUGCUAGAAGUGCACCAAUCAAAUUCUUACACCGGUAUCUGGUGCUGAAGGGAAUCACGUCUCAGGACCAGAAGGACUUCACGAAAAUGCUGGCAUCCCUGUGGUUUGAUUUGUAUGGAAGGGGUGGAUGCUCUGGUAGCUCUUCUGCCUUUGAGCAUGUCUUUGUAGGAGAGAUCAAGGGGCGGUGUCGAGGUGAGCAUGAGGUCACAGACUUCCACAACUGGACUCAGUUUUACCUGGAAGAAUCCAAAGGCAAUGUGGAUUACCAAGGGUACAUAUUUCCAAAGAAAUACGGGGACCAUCCAGACUCUCAGACGCAGCUGCUCACCAUUCAGUUUGAGUGGCAUGGCUUGCUGAAAUCUGUAUCCAGCACAUUGAUUGGCGUCAGUCCUGAGUUUGAGAUUGCGCUCUACACGCGCUGCUUCUUUGCUGGAGAGGAUAAUAACCAUGUCCAUGUGGGUCCAUAUGCGAUCAACAUCAAGUGCUACAGGAUGGGGGUUAACAAGAUCGGAUCAGCUUUCCCUGUCGCAGAACAUUGA
This 702-nucleotide ribosomal RNA is filed under the name Triticum aestivum (bread wheat). Its description in RNAcentral is "partial small subunit ribosomal RNA". Lineage: Eukaryota; Viridiplantae; Streptophyta; Magnoliopsida; Poales; Poaceae. The record is from RNAcentral.